GAAGCCCUUCUAAGGGGAUCAAGGCUGUGACUGGCUAUGAGAAGAGAAAACUAAUGCUCCAUUUCCCACUCAGUCCCUGGGCUGCUGAACUCUUCCCCACCACUUGAGGAGGAGCUACGCUGGGAAGAGAUGAGCUGAUGCCCAGCUCAGCUGCUCUUCUGAGUCUUCAAUUUCCAGACCAACCUCCCUUAAGGUGACUGACAGUGGGGACCUCAACCUCACCUACAGGGAUGUGGACUGAUCCCAUGGUCUCAGUGAGAGACCCAGGCAAUAUUUCUACAUGAAGCAUGUUGGAUUUCUGAAUUAUCCAGCCUCAAAUGACACCGGGAUGGGACAGUGUUAACCCAGAUAAGAAAACUGAGGCUCUGAGAAGUUGAGGGACUUGGUCAAGGCCACAUGUCAGUGAGUGCCAGAAGUUUCUGCUACUCCUACAAAAUCAGAAGUUCCCCAAAUCCAAACCAUCUCGACCUACCCCUGUGACCCGCCAAAAGAAGCUGGCCUUCCCCAUCCUCCUGUCUCCGCAGUGCCAUUUGCCUUUCAGUCUCCUAAAAAGAAGCACUUACUCUCUUCCCCAAAUCGCAGAGGGAAGCUUCAAAUACACUUCUAAUCAUCCUCAGUACCCAGCAGUAUAUAGGAAGUUAUUGUCCCAAAGUUGUGUGUCAUGCCCGAAGUGUCUGGGAUCCCCGAGUGCCUGUGGUGCCCAAGAGCUAUGAAUCUGCUAUCAUCAACACAGAGGGUACCUUCUGAAUGGGCUAUGUCUACAGUGAUGCUGCAAAUGGAAGCUAACCCUAGGAUGACUGGCCUCUGACACUUGAGCCAUCCCAUCAUCUGUCAUGGGUUGACCCAUCCAUCCCCUCAAUGAGCCUGACCUUCAGGACCACUGACAGAGGAGCAGUCAAUAGAAAUUAAUUGUUAAAUACCCAGAAAAUCUGAAAUGGUAUUUAAUAUGCAGUUCAUCAAGAGCAAAAGUUCCUUAAAUCUUCAUCUAGAAAAGUUAUUUAUAAGGGAUGAAUAUGUUGUAUGAAUAUGUUGUAUGCAAAUAUUAUAUUCAAGGGCAAGACCAUGAAAACAGUUUAAGAAUCCGACAGGGAAUUAGAUAAAGACAUCGGAGUGCACUUGUCAAAAUACAGCUAUCAAGAAUGAUGAUGUUGAAAAAUAGUUUAGCAAUAUAAUUGUCUAGAACCACAGGGAGUCUGAGAUUUUACCCAACUUGUGAGUUAACAACUCUGCUAUAGCUUCAUGAAAGAAGACACAAGACUCCUGGGUCAGGAACAAAGGUCUCUAAUACUCACAGCAAUAUCAGGAGCCAGAAUUUCAGGAUCCUUUUUCCUGCCAGUUUCUCAAGUCCUAAUUACCACCGAGUUACAGGAAAGGGCCAGGUAACACUAGCACUGCCAUCAGUGGCUGUAUUACAGAACAGGAACUCCAAGCUUAGGAAACCCAAAUCUUUUAUAGUUAACAAUGAACACAUCUGCCAUUGUUCUGAAGGGAGACGCUACCCCAAUCUUCCACACCUGUUCACUAUAUAAAUAUCUGUGAAAAGAUAGACAGAAAAAUAGGUGGAGAAUGCCUCUGCUCACAAGAUGUGCAGAAACGUGAGAGGCUCAUGGAGAACUGUUUCCCUACAAUGACAAAAUGCUGACGAUAUAUUGUUAUGUAAAAUAAAGCAGGCAUUUUUCACCUCAUUUUCAUGAAAUAUAGUGUGUUUAUAUAGAUAUUUAGAAAAGUAUGAAAGGACAUUCAUCCAGAUAUCAAUAGAAGAGUUUAUUAUUUUUGCUAGUUGUAAGUUCAAACUUUUCUAGUAAAAAUAGAUUACUUGUGAAAUUAUUUUUAAUCUUUUUUUUUUUUUGAGAUGGAGUCUUGCUCUGUCGCCCAGGCUCGAGUGCAGUGGCAUGAUCUCAGCUCACUGCAACAUCCACCUCCUGGGUUCAAGCAAUUCUCCUGCCUCAGCCUCCUGAGUAGCUGGGAUUAUAGGUGCAUGCCACCAUGCCCAGCUAAUUUUUGUAUUUUUAGUAGAGACGGGAUUUCACCAUGUUGGUCAGGCUGGUCUCGAACUCCUGACCUCGUGAUCUGCCCACCUCGGCCUCCCAAAGUGCUAGAAUUACAGGUGUGAGCCACUGCACCCCUCCUAAAUGUCAAUUUAAUAACUGAGGGAGCCCUUAAAAUACCCCGCUGACUUCCACACGGGUGUGUAAAAUAGAAUCUGCUCACGUCUUAGAGGAGAUAAGUACAUGCUUAAUGUUCUUAGGAGAGACCUGCCUUUUGACAUGGAAGCUGUGGUAUUGUUGACAAGAGCAUACCUCCUUAAACCAUGCAAACCACGUUCACAUCAAAGCUGCCUACGAAUGAUUAUUUUCCAUGAUGCUAUGCUCCCUCCUGCCUGCCUCAGUGGCAAGUGUGACUCAGCAAGUGUAUCCAGGGCAUCCCUCACUCUUACUUAUUUUUGCCAAAUGCAGUGGAAAUGUAUAGACUUUUUUUCAUAUUUAUGUUGGCUGCAGAGCAUAAAUCUGAAUAGGUUCUCCAAAGUAAGCUUUUUCUGCAUGCAUUUGCUCCCAAUGAUGAUAGGUAUUAUGAAUUGCUUUAUAGUAAUCAUUAUCCUUUUCCAUAUGUUUUACGGUUAGUCUGUGCUAUAAACUUGUUUGAUUUAAUGAUUUGGGUUCUCUCUCUCUCUCUCUUCUCUCCUCUUCUCUCUCUCUCUCUCUCUCUCUCUCUCACACACACACACACACUAUACAACAUACAGUUUCUUGUCUUUAAACAGGGAUAGUGAUUACCUUAUAGAUUGUGAUUAGGAUCAGAUAAACUAUAAGUAAAGCCCUGUGGUAUAAUGUGUGGGACAAAACUAACACAAUUUCAAAUUUUCUGCAACAAGUAAACAGUAUUUUAUAAUUGACAAAACUAAAAACGAACUUUAAACUUAAAAUUUCAUAUUACACAAUUGACAAUUCAAUUAACUUUCCAAUAUUAGUGUCUCUGCGUAUAUAUGUGUACAGAGACAUAUGUAACUUAUUUAACUUUAAAGUAUAUUUUCUAAUAGCUAUUUAAGAGCCAUCAAACUUUCCAAAAAAAGAGAUAGCUUUUAAAAAUAAGUGUUUCAACUUGUGAUAGUUACUUGCAUAAAUUGAUAAUUUAACCAGCUAAUUAUUAAAUCUAUAAUAGACAGGAUGAAGCAGCAUUAGGAGAGGGUAUUUAUCAGUUGCCUGGGGGCUGUCUCAUAGCUUAGUUGAAAUUCUUUUGGUUGCAAAUGUCACAAACCCACUUCAAAUUAGCUUAAGCUCAGGCAAAAUUUGCUGGAAGGAUCCUGAGGCAGUAGCUCCAAAAGUCAAAGAAAAAGCCAAAUAACCCAGUGAUCAGGAAAAAGGAAGAAUGAAGUAGGAACCUCUAGGGCCCAAGGUUGUGGAUUUUUCUUCUAGAGACUUGACAUCCACAUUACUCAGCAAUAUUUUCCCAUUUGCUUUUUCUCUUGACUUUAAUUCUGGAGAGAGAGGAAUUGAGUGGUGCAGCUUGGGUCAGGUGUCCACAUGUCCACACCUGUUGUAAGCACCUAUGGCUGAGAGGUCAGGGUCACAUAACAGAAGUAUGGCUGCUGGGGCCCAAGCCCAUGCGUGUGCAUGUGUUGUGUAUAUGCAUUUCUGUGUGUGUGGCAGGGAGUGCAAAGGUGGAGGGGGUGACACUCAGGGAUCUGUGGCUGGACUGGCAUCCCUGAAGUUCUUCUCCACACAUGUUUUUGCUUCAGAGGGAUAGAAAUUUCCAUUCCUCUUACAUUUUUAUAACAUUGUUAGAUGACUUCCUCACUCUGGAUUUUGGUGUUCUAACCAGAAGUUCAUAGGCAAUACCUAAAUGCUCUUUGAGCUUCCGCAGUGCACAUUAAUACUUCAUCCAGCAACUUGGAGAGUCCAUCUCAGUAGAAAAUUCAGCUGGUUUCACGUGGAAACACCCACUGCCCUUAGUAAUGGAGCUGCCAAGAAUGAAUCAUGCUCAAAUUUGUCCUUUUAGCAGAAUAAUGCUGCCCUCUGACAGCAACUGAAUAGGCUUUUAUCUUUUGGGGAAGUAAAUUUUCUUCCUCCAUACAGUUUCAUUAAUAUUUGUGAACUGAGCCACCAUGCUUGCCUGCAUGCCUGUGCCAGGCCCUCUUGCGGCAGCCCACUCCCACUCCCCUUAAUUCACUAAUCAUCUGCACACAACGGGCUGGAGGAAGAUGGAACUUAGCCCUGGCUGGGGGCAGGGACCUGGUUGUGAACCCUUGGCCUAAUGGAGACUUGGUCAAGCAGUAUCAACUGUCAGGACUUUUAUUUCCUGAUCUGUAAACUGGGAUCAGAAUCUCCCCCUUUUUUUUUUUUUUUUUCAUGAUGGAAUCUCGCUCUGUCGCCCAGGCUGGAGUGCAGUGGCACGAUCUCGGCUCACUGCAAGCUCUGCCUCCCAGGUUCACGCCAUUCUCCUGCCUCAGCCUCCCAAGUAGCUGGGACUACAGGUACCAGCCACCACGCCAGCUAAUUUCUUUUUGCAUUUUCAGUAGAGAUGGGGUUUCACUGUGUUAGCCAGGAUGGUCUCGAUCUCCUGACCUUGUGAUCUUCCUGUCUCGGCCUUCCAAAGUACUGGGAUUACAGGCAUGAGCCACCGUGCCCGGCCCAGAAUCCCCAUUUUAUCCAAAGAGCUGAAAGAAGGCAGUGGGGAUAAUAAGUGUGAAUGUAGUUUGGAUGCUGUAAAUUUCUAUGUAAAUGUUAAGUAUAUUCUCCAUUAAAAAAUUCACCAACCUCAUUCUCUUGGGUGUGUUAAAUCACAUGCAUUCAUGUUUCCAGUCAACCAGAGACCCCACUUUUUCCAAACUAUGUGGCAGAGGAAUAACAUCUGUAACUAUUUUGUUUGAGCUACUUCUUUCAUUUUAGAAACUGUGAAAUCAUCAGAGAAAAUAAAUACUCUGUGAUAUUCACACAUACUUCUACGAGAGUAAUUAGGAGACUCUUUGGCAAAGUUACAUAUAAAAUAUCCCCGGGAGAUUCAUUUUCUACCAAACCAUUCAAUAAAAAUGAAAAACACUCCUCCCAACUCUACUCCCACCUAAUUCCCUCAAGACCCCAUAUCCUUGUAGUUUCAUCAGGGUUACUUAUAUUUUGUUGCAAAUACAAUUAUUACCUUGUUACCUAGACCCUCAAGAUGUAAGAGUUUUAUGCACAUAGGGUCACCACACAUGAUUCUGCAUUAUUCAGAAGAGGUAAAUCAUUUGUUCUCCUGCAAAAAUAGCCCUGUAUCUAUAAAAUAUCCUUCCCAUCCUGAAGAUAAUUUAUGCCUCCUGACCCUCAAAGAAAAUGAGAAUUUCUGGCCACGGGCUUGGGGUGCAUCCAUUAGUGGCUCACCCAUGUGUUCACAACUGCAUUAUCUAACAGCACAUCUGACUGACCGCACAAAUUUGCAUAGUAAGCCACGUUGGCCAGCAGGUGAAAUUCAAAGGCAGGAUUAUCAAUAGCAUCAACAGCUACAGAGGGGUCAAGGAAAAGAAUUAUAAAGGUCAUUUGUUCAGAGAGAAGGUGGCCACUGGUGACUUUGGAGAGGUCACUCUAACAAUGGCAGAAUGGCAGAAUGAAGAAGUCAGAAUGCAAAGAUAUAAGGCAGGUUUUGAUGCUGAGAAAAUAGGAACAUAGGUAGUUAUUUGCUUGACAAGUAAACUAACAACUAAAAGGAGGGAUAGAACUAUGCCUCAAGAGAGGCAAUUCAUUUAUUUUCUUAGUUGAAUAGCCAAAACAUGUUCAUGUUUGAAGGCCAAGGGGAAGGAGCUAAUGAAAUCUACUGGUUAUAAGCUGUGCAACCUUUGACAAGUUACUUGAUUUCUCUAAACCUUAAAAGCAUCUCUUGUAAAACAGGGGUAGUAAUACUAUAUAUUUCAUUGGGAUAUUGUGACCUUUAAGUGAGGUAAUUUAUGAAAUACUUAGCUUCACACAGUGCUAAGUACCCAUUAAGUGAUCAAUAGAUAAAAUACUGAUUUACAAAGAGAAAUAGGAGGAGGAAAAGUAAGAAAGAGGCAUCCAAGGCAGCAACAGAAGAGAGAAGAAGAGGAGGAGAUGGCAAUGAAGGAGCUAGAAAGGAACCCCUGCAGCUGUAGGGAGAAAGGAUGGUUGAAUGUGCAGAGAAGAAUUUUCCAUCGUAAAGAGGAGGAUAAGAUAAAGCUUCUGGUGGACAUUUCCAAAUUUCUCAACAAAGGCGACAGUUUUGUUGAGACAAUAGCAGGAAGGGGGUGGUUAGAAGACAGGGAAAAGAGCCCAGGAUUGCCAUUGUGAAAUACACAUUAAGACUUCACAGAGGUGAACAUGGAGAUUAUAGAGUAGCCACAAGAGCCCAUUUGAAAUAAAAAGAGAAGUCCAGGGCCAGGCACCCAGGGGCAGAACAGCAGGUUAGGACAGAGCAGAAACUCAAGGGAAAGAAGACAACUGAGAAGAGGUGAGGGCAGGCUGUCUUCCUUUUGUGUGUUUUUCCUUCCCUUUCUUUCCUUCUCUCUGAUUUCCUUUCCUUUUCUCCUUCUCUCUUUUCCUUUCUGAUUUCUUCUUUAAGAAGUAAUAAAUAGUAGAAAGAGUGGUUAAUCAUUCGUUCUUCAGUGUUUUCCACCUUCUCAUGAGACUCAAAGAAUUGAUGUCUGUUCUGUAGGCUCUUGUAAAACAUAUUCAGUUCGUCUGAAGAAGGAGCUGUAUAGAUGAAAAUAACAGCACUAAUAAAUGCUGAAAGUCUCACAGUAUUAACAUGAUUAUAUGCAGCCUGAAAAUGGAUUUCAAAGCCAGAGAAGCUUAGGUAUCAGAAAGAAAAAUGUCAAUGUAAUUGGAAAUCUAUCCUAGCCUUGUAUCUGCCUGCACUAUUUACUCUGUUUUGGGGCUUUCUUUGUGAUUAAGCUAUUAAAAUGCAAUCACUCUCCCUUUUUAGGCCAGCCAAAACAAUGUAAUUUUUUUCAAGCAAAGUAUAACUAUAAAAAGUUAAAAUACAGAA
Molecule: long non-coding RNA, 6969 nt
Filed under: Homo sapiens (human)
Lineage: Eukaryota; Metazoa; Chordata; Mammalia; Primates; Hominidae
Description: non-protein coding lnc-FGFR2-12:9
Source: RNAcentral